Long non-coding RNA from Musca domestica (house fly), 579 nucleotides. RefSeq lists it as uncharacterized. The record is from RefSeq and is a predicted model, not a curated record. NCBI's taxonomy places the organism in Eukaryota, Metazoa, Arthropoda, Insecta, Diptera, Muscidae. The transcript is spliced from 2 exons.
CGUGUUUGUACAGUUACUGUUUGUUUACAUUCAACUCAAUUGACAUCGGGCCAUAUUAGGAGCAACUCACUGAUAGUAAAAACUUUGCGUUUUAGCAGAUAAGAAUUUUUUGGUCACAGCUAUUUCUUGUGUUCCUAUUGGCUAUGUUCAUAUAAAUAAUUUGCAAUUCCGUUUAUUAUGGCAGUAUCACUUUUCCUAAAGUAUAGUCACCUUUCUGUGAAAAAUGAAAUUAUUUCUCCUAAUGUUAUCCCUCGCCGAUUUAAGCCAGAAUUUAAAAAUGAGGAAGGCGUGUGCUACUAUAAGUCGAUCGACUUAUUAGAGAAAUUCGUUGAGCUUACGGACAAAUAUGAAAAGGAAGAUGCUACUCCCGAGGCCAAAAAACUGGAUGAAUUGUUCAAAAGCUAUGACAGCAAGAAAUUGGAAAAGGAAAUUGAAAAAUUUUAUGAGAGAGUGGGAGCAAUGGAAAUGGACAAAUCAGAUGAACACGAAAUGGAUAGAAGUCGAAUAUUCAGUAAAAUGUCGGAGAUCUGCUAAUAUGUUAAACAAAUAAAAUGAAGCUUAUGGAUACAUAUAAACAAA